RNAcentral lists this ribosomal RNA (533 nucleotides) under uncultured bacterium. Its description in RNAcentral is "partial 16S ribosomal RNA". It matches the Rfam family "Bacterial small subunit ribosomal RNA", at positions 355 to 902 of the family's 1533-position model. The record is from RNAcentral.
UGGGGAAUAUUGCACAAUGGGCGAAAGCCUGAUGCAGCAACGCCGCGUGAGUGAUGAAGGCCUUCGGGUUGUAAAGCUCUGUCUUUUGGGACGAUAAUGACGGUACCAAAGGAGGAAGCCACGGCUAACUACGUGCCAGCAGCCGCGGUAAUACGUAGGUGGCAAGCGUUGUCCGGAUUUACUGGGCGUAAAGGAUGCGUAGGCGGAUUUUUAAGUGAGAUGUGAAAACCCUAAGCUUAACUUGGGGACUGCAUUUCAUACUGGAAAAUCUAGAGUGCGGGAGAGGAGAAUGGAAUUCCUAGUGUAGCGGUGAAAUGCGUAGAGAUUAGGAAGAACACCAGUGGCGAAGGCGAUUCUCUGGACCGUAACUGACGCUGAGGCAUGAAAGCGUGGGUAGCAAACAGGAUUAGAUACCCUGGUAGUCCACGCCGUAAACGAUGAGUACUAGGUGUAGGAGGUAUCGACCCCUUCUGUGCCGCAGUUAACACAAUAAGUACUCCGCCUGGGAAGUACGAUCGCAAGAUUAAAAACUC